Molecule: ribosomal RNA, 480 nt
Filed under: uncultured bacterium
Lineage: Bacteria
Description: bacterial SSU rRNA
Rfam family: Bacterial small subunit ribosomal RNA
Source: RNAcentral
AGGGUUUGAUCCUGGCUCAGAUUGAACGCUGGCGGUAUGCUUAACACAUGCAAGUCGAACGGAAACGAUGGUAGCUUGCUACCAGGCGUCGAGUGGCGGACGGGUGAGUAACGCGUAGGAAUCUACCUGAUAGUGGGGGAUAGCCCAGAGAAAUCUGGAUUAAUACCGCAUAAUCUCUAUGGAGUAAAGUGGGGGAUCUUCGGACCGCACGCUAUCAGAUGAGCCUGCGUAAGAUUAGCUAGUUGGUGAGGUAAAAGCUCACCAAGGCGACGAUCUUUAGCUGGUCUGAGAGGAUGAUCAGCCACACUGGGACUGAGACACGGCCCAGACUCCUACGGGAGGCAGCAGUGGGGAAUAUUGGACAAUGGGCGCAAGCCUGAUCCAGCAAUACCGCGUGUGUGAAGAAGGCCUGAGGGUUGUUAAGCACUUUCAAUUGUGAAGAAAAGCUUAGUGUUAAUAGCACUAAGCCUUGACGUAACU